Molecule: long non-coding RNA, 220 nt
Filed under: Linum usitatissimum (flax)
Lineage: Eukaryota; Viridiplantae; Streptophyta; Magnoliopsida; Malpighiales; Linaceae
Description: long non-coding RNA (LUSI_LNC004253)
Source: RNAcentral
UUUUUAUUUUUUGUUAGUUGUUGUGGUUUCUAGUCGGGGUAGUUCUUAGUGCAUUAUAAGCCUCUGUCCAAGGUUAUCUGUUUUCAGGAUGAUUGAAAGUAUGAAUGAGCUGGCUUUUUCUAACCAUUUGUGACUCCAUAAACCACCUGUUUCUGAGUGAUAAUCCUCCUAAAAACUGAUUUGAUAAAUUAAGUAUCUUUGACCAUGAACUUUAAUAAUA